UACAGAGGGUGCGAGCGUUAAUCGGAAUUACUGGGCGUAAAGCGCACGUAGUCGGCUUUGCAAGUCGGGUGUGAAAUCCCCGGGCUCAACCUGGGAACUGCAUCCGAGACUGCAUUGCUAGAGUAUGGGAGAGGGAAGCGGAAUUUCUGGUGUAGCAGUGAAAUGCGUAGAUAUCGUGAGGAAGACCAGUUGCGAAGGCGGAUCUCUGGGCAGUUCCUGACACUGAGGCACGAAGGCCAGGGGAGCAAACGGG
RNAcentral lists this ribosomal RNA (253 nucleotides) under uncultured bacterium. RNAcentral's name for it is "partial 16S ribosomal RNA". It matches the Rfam family "Bacterial small subunit ribosomal RNA", at positions 524 to 776 of the family's 1533-position model. The record is from RNAcentral.